UAGGGAAUCUUCCACAAUGGACGCAAGUCUGAUGGAGCAACGCCGCGUGAGUGAAGAAGGUUUUCGGACCGUAAAGCUCUGUUGUUGGUGAAGAAGGAUAGAGGUAGUAACUGGCCUUUAUUUGACGGUAAUCAACCAGAAAGUCACGGCUAACUACGUGCCAGCAGCCGCGGUAAUACGUAGGUGGCAAGCGUUGUCCGGAUUUAUUGGGCGUAAAGCGAGCGCAGGCGGAAGAAUAAGUCUGAUGUGAAAGCCCUCGGCUUAACCGAGGAAUUGCAUCGGAAACUGUUUUCUUGAGUGCAGAAGAGGAGAGUAGAACUCCAUGUGUAGCGGUGGAAUGCGUAGAUAUAUGGAAGAAUACCAGUGGCGAAGGCGGCUCUCUGGUCUGCAACUGACGCUGAGGCUCGAAAGCGUGGGUAGCGAGCAGGAUUAGAUACCCUGGUAGUCCAUGCCGUAAACGAUGAGUGCUAAGUGUUGGGAGGCUUCCGCCUCUCAGUGCUGCAGCUAACGCAUUAAGCACUCCGCCUGGGGGAGUACGACCGCAAGGUUGAAAC
This 554-nucleotide ribosomal RNA is filed under the name uncultured bacterium. RNAcentral's name for it is "partial 16S ribosomal RNA". It matches the Rfam family "Bacterial small subunit ribosomal RNA", at positions 355 to 900 of the family's 1533-position model. The record is from RNAcentral.